GCCAGACUCCUACGGGAGGCAGCAGUGGGGAAUAUUGCACAAUGGGGGAAACCCUGAUGCAGCAACGCCGCGUGAGUGAAGAAGUAUUUCGGUAUGUAAAGCUCUAUCAGCAGGGAAGAAAAUGACGGUACCUGAGUAAGAAGCCCCGGCUAACUACGUGCCAGCAGCCGCGGUAAUACGUAGGGGGCAAGCGUUAUCCGGAUUUACUGGGUGUAAAGGGAGCGUAGACGGCGAUGCAAGUCUGAAGUGAAAGCCCGGGGCUCAACCCCGGGACUGCUUUGGAAACUGUAUGGCUGGAGUGCUGGAGAGGCAAGCGGAAUUCCUAGUGUAGCGGUGAAAUGCGUAGAUAUAUGUAAGAACACCAGUGGCGAAGGCGGCUUGCUGGGUCGAUACUGACAUUGAGGCACGAAAGCGUGGGGAGCAAACAGGAUUAGAUACCCCCGUA
Molecule: ribosomal RNA, 445 nt
Filed under: uncultured bacterium
Lineage: Bacteria
Description: bacterial SSU rRNA
Rfam family: Bacterial small subunit ribosomal RNA
Source: RNAcentral